RNAcentral lists this long non-coding RNA (222 nucleotides) under Elaeis guineensis (African oil palm). RNAcentral describes it as "long non-coding RNA (EGUI_LNC025556)". Lineage: Eukaryota; Viridiplantae; Streptophyta; Magnoliopsida; Arecales; Arecaceae. The record is from RNAcentral.
GAAAUACUUUAUCUAGUUUGGACCUUAAUCCCAAAAUAGGCCUGUCAGGCUAGGUUGUGGACACCCGUGAUAGCUGUCGUGCAUCAGUUAUCUAGCUUUGGACCACCGUAUACGUUAUCUGGUUUUGAGAAAGCUGGGCUAAUUCUAGAAUAGCCCAAGAAGCGGAUCCAUUGCAACCCAACAAGAAGAAAUAUUAAACAAAGAGAGAUAAAGUGGGUGGGA